UGAAAAUGGAAAGGCAGCAAAUGAGCAUCCUUAAUGAUGGUCUCGUUUUAUAUUAAUUAAUUAUAAUAUCUUUUGUUURUCUCGAAUAUAACAAGCUACCGGUUGUUUAUUGGUACUCACGAGAAAGACAAGAGCUCAAGCACGUCUUCGAAGAAAAGACAUCUAUUUUAAGAGAAAGCCAUGCCUUCACGAUUCCUUAUCCUUGGUGUGCUUGUUGUACUGAUUGCAGCAGCAGUGGCAUUGCCUAAUGAUGAAGCUGACAUGAAAGGAAUGUACUUAAUGAAAAGAGUCGGGUGCAGUUGCGGUAAAAAGCCAGGGACAUUCUGGUUCCUGAGCCAAUCCGGUUGUCCAGGGGGAUAUGGCUAUAAAGGCGGUUGUAUGUAUCUGGCCGGAAGAUGUUGUUAUAAAUAAAAAACAAAUAAAGUAUACACAGUAUUAUAUUAUGAUUUAGGAGCAUGUUAAAAAUGUUGAUCUAUAUCAAUCGUAAUGUGAUAACAAGAAAAUGGAUGAAUAAUUGAAACAUUGAUAGAAAUGAGAAUGAGAUUAUUGUAAUGUUUAACUUACUGGUAAGAUAUUAAUAAAAAUAUAGAAAUAUGAGAAAA
Actinia tenebrosa (Australian red waratah sea anemone) is the source of this 602-nucleotide long non-coding RNA. The record is from RefSeq and is a predicted model, not a curated record. NCBI's taxonomy places the organism in Eukaryota, Metazoa, Cnidaria, Anthozoa, Actiniaria, Actiniidae.